RNAcentral lists this long non-coding RNA (1606 nucleotides) under Takifugu rubripes (torafugu). RNAcentral's name for it is "lncRNA (ENSTRUG00000031694.1)". The record is from RNAcentral. Lineage: Eukaryota; Metazoa; Chordata; Actinopteri; Tetraodontiformes; Tetraodontidae.
CUCGUUAUAAAUGACUGUGGGCCAGCAGAGCCAGGCAGGAAAUAUCUCAAAACGACCUGCGUCUUCAUGCAAAUCUCAGCUGUUGCGGCCAGAAGCGUUUGGGUUUAUCGUUUCUCGCGCAUUCUGUGGGUUUGGCCAGCUCUCCGAUGAUGGUCCAGCUCAUUUGCCUGCUGUGUUUCAGUAGUUACAUGCAAAGAAAAAAGCUCCCAAACGAUGAUCUGCUUGUGGUGACACUGGAGGGCCAUCCUGGUGGCCCACAAGAGCUUCUUUCAACCUCAAACUGGCCCCAAGAACAAGAACCCGUGGAAAUCUAUUCUGGACCAAGUUGGAUUUCAACUGGACCAAGAUGGUGGAACACUGCUAGAAAAUCUCUGAUGGAUAGAGAAACUUUACUGUCGUCUCUCACGCCGUCCUGUCAAAUUUCCUGUUUCCAGCUCGACGUGAUUCAGAGUCAAUGUGGAAACAAUUUGAAAAGCUCUUUUCAGCCUUUUUAAAGCUCUCCUAGAAAUACCCAUUGUAACAGUUAUGGGAUGUGGAUGCUGGACCCCGGCAUGACCUUGCAAAGCUGCAUUAAAGACUCAUUAUUUAUGGAAGAAUUCAUUAUUUCUUUAAACCAUUUUCUCUAGUGUGUUUAGUUUCAGCCAAAUCAACGUUAAGAUUGUAACAAGAGCCCGCGGGAGCCCAGCGUGAAACGCUGUACUGUGUCAACACCUGAGCUUUAAUUAAACAUAACAUAAUCCAUCAUUUAAACCAUAGCAUCAGUAAAUACAGCCAACUGUGCGAAAGGGGAAGGAAACGAAACAGCAGUCUGAAGCUGCCCCCUCAUAAAAGGACGCUGACACCUGAACCUAAAGGAAUAAUCCCAAACUAAACAUCCAGAAUCACAUCAUAUCACACUUCCCCUGGUCUUUCCUCCUGCUUUAUACCAAUAACAAAGUAUGAAACGCCACAUUGGGCACCUGUAAGGUGUGUGUGUGUGUGUGGGGGGGGGGGGGGGGUCUCCGAAGGCCCUGUCGACCUCUGUGCCCCUGGGGUCCAGUCAUGUGACUCGGACCCAGUUUGACUUCAGCUGAGAUGAUUUCAGGUCGGUUGUGGGUGGAUUUAUUACUCGCUGCUGAGUGGUUUCACAUGGUGAUUUAAAAGAAGAAAACAACCCGCAGCUGUUUAACACGCCGCUGGCACGUGGGGGCACUAAAUUACCCGGCGGCGUGACGUUAAUUACACGGUCAGCAGCCGGUAGUUCGGCCGCGGAUGCGUCUUUUAAAGACCCUGCUGCGAGCAGCCCACGCGCGAGGAGCGACGUAAUGCGAGUGCACGUGAGAGGGAGAGAGCGCGCGCGACUAUCUCCCCCUCUCGCAUCACGACGUCCAGUCCCUCAUCUGCUCGCGCCCCAUCAUCACGAGACGUGGGAGGCGGCCGUCCAACCUGUGGAGCGUCUUUCUGUCCGCCUGUCUGUCUGACUGCCGCGCACGCACGCACGCACGCACGCACGCCUUAUCUGAAGUAGUUGUAGAGACACAACAGGUCCGCGGAGGAGGCACCGCUGUCAUCCCGGAAGACUCAUCCGGUUUUUGGCGUGGGGGAAGUUGAACCGAGCAGGUGCGUG